RNAcentral lists this signal recognition particle RNA (233 nucleotides) under uncultured Schaedlerella sp. RNAcentral's name for it is "Bacterial large signal recognition particle RNA". It matches the Rfam family "Bacterial large signal recognition particle RNA", at positions 8 to 233 of the family's 256-position model. Rfam says of the family: The signal recognition particle (SRP) is a universally conserved ribonucleoprotein involved in the co-translational targeting of proteins to membranes. Archaeal SRP consists of a 7S RNA and homologues of the eukaryotic SRP19 and SRP54 proteins. In most bacteria, the SRP consists of a 4.5S RNA and the Ffh protein (a homologue of the eukaryotic SRP54 protein). Lineage: Bacteria; Bacillati; Bacillota; Clostridia; Lachnospirales; Lachnospiraceae. The record is from RNAcentral.
AGCCGGGGAGCUAGCGGUGCCUUGUACCUGUAAUCCGCUAUAACAGGGGUGAUAUUACGCAGAGGGUGCUGAUUUGCAGAGUCUGCCCCCGGUAAGUGAUGUUGAAAACUUGGGUCUCACGCGACGGGAAUCUGUGAACCGUGUCAGGUCGGGAACGAAGCAGCACUAAGGAGAACCUUCCGGGUGUUGUGAGGCAGCCUGGGUUGAGUUAACUGCCGGGGUAACGUUUGUGG